AUACGGAGGGGGUUAGCGUUGUUCGGAAUUACUGGGCGUAAAGCGCACGUAGGCGGACUGGAAAGUUGGGGGUGAAAUCCCGGGGCUCAACCCCGGAACUGCCUCCAAAACUUCCAAUCUAGAGAUCGAGAGAGGUGAGUGGGAUUCCAAGUGUAGAGGUGAAAUUCGUAGAUAUUUGGAGGAACACCAGUGGCGAAGGCGGCUCACUGGCUCGAUACUGACGCUGAGGUGCGAAAGCGUGGGGAGCAAACAGGAUUAGAAACCCCAGUAGUCC
This 274-nucleotide ribosomal RNA is filed under the name uncultured bacterium. RNAcentral describes it as "partial 16S ribosomal RNA". It matches the Rfam family "Bacterial small subunit ribosomal RNA", at positions 523 to 796 of the family's 1533-position model. The record is from RNAcentral.